RNAcentral lists this transfer RNA (71 nucleotides) under Toxodera sp. RNAcentral's name for it is "tRNA-Met". The record is from RNAcentral. Lineage: Eukaryota; Metazoa; Arthropoda; Insecta; Mantodea; Toxoderidae.
AGAAAAGUAAGCUAAUAAUAUUAAGCUAUUGGGUUCAUACCCCAAUUAUAGAGAUAAAUCUCUCUUUUCUA